UGAGACUGCGGACGGCUCAGUAAAUCAGUUAUAGUCUAUUCAGCGUGAAAAAAAGUGGAUAACUGUGGUAAAUCUAGAGCUAAUACGUGGAGUGCCUGAGGGUGCAUUGAUUAGCUAGCCGAUGGAGGGGUGAGUAAGAAUAACUGUGCAAAUCGCGGGGAAAUCCUGCGAGAGUGUGAUCGAAUUUCUGCUCUAUUAACUAGUUGGUGAGUUAGUGGCUCACCAAGGUUGUAAUGGAUAACGGGGAAUCAGGGUUCGAUUCCGGAGAGGGAGCCUGAGAAACGGCUACCACAUCUAAGGAAGGCAGCAGGCGCGCAAAUUACCCAAUCCAGACAUUGGGAGGUAGUGACGAGAAAUACCGGAGUAGGCCCAAGUGGUCAACUAUCGGAAUGAACGUAACAUAGUACCUUCGAUGAGUAUCUAUUGGAGGGCAAGUCUGGUGCCAGCAGCCGCGGUAAUUCCAGCUCCAAUAGUGUAUAUCAAAAUUGCUGCAGUUAAAAAGCUCGUAGUUGGAUUACAAGAGACGAGGCUUAAUUUUGUGGCCGUAAAGGUCAUGAAGUAGGACUUGUUUCUUUUAUCGUAAGAGCUGGUUGUGAAAUUAAGUUAUUGCGGCCAGUGACUUGCGGAGUGUGCCUUGAAUAAAGCAAAGUGCUCAAAGCAGGCGUGCGCUCGAAUGUAAUAGCAUGGUACGAAUAUUUGGCUAGAUUGGCUCUCAUUGGUUGCUGAUUUGGUCUAGAUUAAAAGGGACAUUUGAGGGCGUUGGUACUCGGUGGCGAGAGGUGAAAUUCUUAGACCCACCGAAGACUCACAAAUGCGAAAGCAUUCGCCAAGAGUGUUUUCAUUAAUCAAGAACGAAAGUUGGAGGCUCGAAGACGAUCAGAUACCGUCGUAGUUCCUACAGUAAACUAUGCUACCUUGAAAAUUAGCAUGUAAUCAUACAUGUUAGUCUCUCCGGGACACCAAGGUUUUCGAGCUCUGGGGGGAGUAUAGUCCGCAAGGCCAAAACUUA
This 1009-nucleotide ribosomal RNA is filed under the name Variisporina sp. GC-2011. RNAcentral describes it as "bacterial SSU rRNA". It matches the Rfam family "Eukaryotic small subunit ribosomal RNA", at positions 82 to 1146 of the family's 1831-position model. Lineage: Eukaryota; Metazoa; Cnidaria; Myxozoa; Bivalvulida. The record is from RNAcentral.